GGGACGAACGCUGGCGGCGUGCUUAACACAUGCAAGUCGAGCGGAAAGGCCCUUCGGGGUACUCGAGCGGCGAACGGGUGAGUAACACGUGAGUAAUCUGCCCCUAGCUCUGGGAUAGCUCCGGGAAACCGGGAUUAAUACCAGAUAUGACCACUUUAGACAUCUGCUGUGGUGGAAAGAAUUUCGGCUAGGGAUGAGCUCGCGGCCUAUCAGCUUGUUGGUGGGGUAACGCCUACCAAGGCGACGACGGGUA
Molecule: ribosomal RNA, 253 nt
Filed under: uncultured bacterium
Lineage: Bacteria
Description: partial small subunit ribosomal RNA
Rfam family: Bacterial small subunit ribosomal RNA
Source: RNAcentral